CUGGCGGCAGGCCUAACACAUGCAAGUCGAGCGGUAGAGAGAAGCUUGCUUCUCUUGAGAGCGGCGGACGGGUGAGUAAUGCCUAGGAAUCUGCCUGGUAGUGGGGGAUAACGUUCGGAAACGGACGCUAAUACCGCAUACGUCCUACGGGAGAAAGCAGGGGACCUUCGGGCCUUGCGCUAUCAGAUGAGCCUAGGUCGGAUUAGCUAGUUGGUGAGGUAAUGGCUCACCAAGGCGACGAUCCGUAACUGGUCUGAGAGGAUGAUCAGUCACACUGGAACUGAGACACGGUCCAGACUCCUACGGGAGGCAGCAGUGGGGAAUAUUGGACAAUGGGCGAAAGCCUGAUCCAGCCAUGCCGCGUGUGUGAAGAAGGUCUUCGGAUUGUAAAGCACUUUAAGUUGGGAGGAAGGGUUGUAGAUUAAUACUCUGCAAUUUUGACGUUACCGACAGAAUAAGCACCGGCUAACUCUGUGCCAGCAGCCGCGGUAAUACAGAGGGUGCAAGCGUUAAUCGGAAUUACUGGGCGUAAAGCGCGCGUAGGUGGUUUGUUAAGUUGGAUGUGAAAUCCCCGGGCUCAACCUGGGAACUGCAUUCAAAACUGACUGACUAGAGUAUGGUAGAGGGUGGUGGAAUUUCCUGUGUAGCGGUGAAAUGCGUAGAUAUAGGAAGGAACACCAGUGGCGAAGGCGGCCACCUGGACUAAUACUGACACUGAGGUGCGAAAGCGUGGGGAGCAA
Molecule: ribosomal RNA, 740 nt
Filed under: uncultured bacterium
Lineage: Bacteria
Description: bacterial SSU rRNA
Rfam family: Bacterial small subunit ribosomal RNA
Source: RNAcentral